GUUUUACCCUACUGAUGUGAGGCACAGUCAAGGCAGUUCGAGGGGGCCUCUUGAUGCAGAUAAUUGGCACUUGCCCCAGAUUGAAAUUCCAACGAUGCGACGCUACCGUCUGCCGAACUACGGUCGGACGACUCGGGGGCCAGAAUCCAUGCUACGGGGGGAGCGGCGAUUUCUACUCUCUCGCUAAAUUGUCGAACUUCGAUAGGCCUCCAUUGCGGUUCGUGAACGCCACGUGCAAUUCUACGGAGAGGCUAAUCUCUUGUAGACGACUUGAUGUUGCGAAGGGUAUUAUUAGCGGUAGAGUGUCCCUGUAA
Molecule: ribosomal RNA, 314 nt
Filed under: Madagascaria erythrocladioides
Lineage: Eukaryota; Rhodophyta; Compsopogonophyceae; Erythropeltidales; Erythrotrichiaceae
Description: partial Eukaryotic large subunit ribosomal RNA
Source: RNAcentral